AGCAGUCGCCACGGUAAUACGAAGGGUGCAAGCGUUAAUCGGAAUUACUGGGCGUAAAGGGUGCGUAGGCGGUUUGUUAAGUCUGUUGUGAAAUCCCCGGGCUCAACCUGGGAAUGGCAAUGGAUACUGGCAAGCUAGAGUGUGUCAGAGGAUGGUGGAAUUCCCGGUGUAGCGGUGAAAUGCGUAGAGAUCGGGAGGAACAUCAGUGGCGAAGGCGGCCAUCUGGGACAACACUGACGCUGAGGCACGAAAGCGUGGGGAGCAAACAGGAUUAGAUACCCCAGUAGUCCUGUCUCUUAUACA
RNAcentral lists this ribosomal RNA (303 nucleotides) under uncultured bacterium. RNAcentral describes it as "partial 16S ribosomal RNA". It matches the Rfam family "Bacterial small subunit ribosomal RNA", at positions 507 to 809 of the family's 1533-position model. The record is from RNAcentral.